GCGAACAAUACUCUCAAAG
This 19-nucleotide ribosomal RNA is filed under the name Torulaspora delbrueckii. RNAcentral describes it as "26S ribosomal RNA". The record is from RNAcentral. Lineage: Eukaryota; Fungi; Ascomycota; Saccharomycetes; Saccharomycetales; Saccharomycetaceae.